This 253-nucleotide ribosomal RNA is filed under the name uncultured bacterium. RNAcentral's name for it is "partial 16S ribosomal RNA". It matches the Rfam family "Bacterial small subunit ribosomal RNA", at positions 524 to 776 of the family's 1533-position model. The record is from RNAcentral.
UACGUAGGGUGCAAGCGUUGUCCGGAAUUAUUGGGCGUAAAGAGCUCGUAGGCGGUCUGUCGCGUCGGCUGUGAAAACCCGGGGCUCAACCCCGGGUCUGCAGUCGAUACGGGCAGACUAGAGUGCGGUAGGGGAGACUGGAAUUCCUGGUGUAGCGGUGAAAUGCGCAGAUAUCAGGAGGAACACCGGUGGCGAAGGCGGGUCUCUGGGCCGUAACUGACGCUGAGGAGCGAAAGCGUGGGGAGCGAACAGG